UCAGGAUGAACGCUAGCGACAGGCUUAACACAUGCUAGUCGAGGGGCAGCGGGGGAGUGGCAACACUUCCGCCGGCGACCGGCGCACGGGUGAGUAACACGUAUGAAACCUGCCCGCAGCAGGGGGAUAAGCGGAAGAAAUUCCGUCUAAUACCGCGUAACAACCGACGGGGGCAUCCCUGUUGGUUCAAAGGAGCGAUCCGGCUGCGGAUGGUCAUGCGGCGCAUUAGCUAGUUGGCGGGGCAACGGCCCACCAAGGCGACGAUGCGUAGGGGUUCUGAGAGGAAGGUCCCCCACACUGGUACUGAGACACGGACCAGACUCCUACGGGAGGCAGCAGUGAGGAAUAUUGGUCAAUGGCCGAGAGGCUGAACCAGCCAAGUCGCGUGAGGGAUGACGGCCCUACGGGUUGUAAACCUCUUUUGCCGGGGAGCAAAGAGCGGGACGCGUCCCGCCUCGAGAGUACCCGGAGAAAAAGCAUCAGCUAACUCCGUGCCAGCAGCCGCGGUAAUACGGAGGAUGCGAGCGUUAUCCGGAUUUAUUGGGUUUAAAGGGUGCGCAGGCGGAAGCGCAAGUCAGCGGUAAAAUUGAGAGGCUCAACCUCUUCCCGCCGUUGAAACUGCGUUUCUUGAGUGGGCGAGAAGUACGCGGAAUGCGUGGUGUAGCGGUGAAAUGCAUAGAUAUCACGCAGAACUCCGAUUGCGAAGGCAGCGUACCGGCGCCCAACUGACGCUCAUGCACGAAAGCGUGGGUAUCGAACAGGAUUAGAUACCCUGGUAGUCCACGCAGUAAACGAU
This 796-nucleotide ribosomal RNA is filed under the name uncultured bacterium. RNAcentral's name for it is "bacterial SSU rRNA". It matches the Rfam family "Bacterial small subunit ribosomal RNA", at positions 24 to 810 of the family's 1533-position model. The record is from RNAcentral.